ACAGGCUUAUCUCCCCCAAGAGUCCAUAUCGACGGGGAGGUUUGGCACCUCGAUGUCGGCUCAUCGCAUCCUGGGGCUGGAGUAGGUCCCAAGGGUUUGGCUGUUCGCCAAUUAAAGCGGUACGUGAGCUGGGUUUAAAACGUCGUGAGACAGUUUGGUCCCUAUCUGUUGCGGGCGGAGGAUAUUUGAGAGGAGCUGUCCCUAGUACGAGAGGACCGGGAUGGACGAACCUCUAGUGUUCCAGUUGUCACGCCAGUGGCAUCGCUGGGUAGCUACGUUCGGACGGGAUAACCGCUGAAAGCAUCUAAGCGGGAAGCCCACCUCAAGAUUAGAUAUCCCGUGGCGUAAGCCACCUAAAGACCCCUCGGAGACUACGAGGUUGAUAGGUCAGGUGUGUAAGGCCAGUAAUGGUCUGAGCUUACUGAUACUAAUCGGUCGUGCGGCUUGACCAU
Molecule: ribosomal RNA, 452 nt
Filed under: Deltaproteobacteria bacterium
Lineage: Bacteria; Pseudomonadati; Myxococcota; Myxococcia
Description: partial 23S ribosomal RNA
Rfam family: Bacterial large subunit ribosomal RNA
Source: RNAcentral